UACGUAGGGACCAAGCGUUGUUCGGAUUUACUGGGCGUAAAGGGCGCGUAGGCGGCAUGACAAGUCACUUGUGAAAUCUCUGGGCUUAACCCAGAACGGCCAAGUGAUACUGUCGCGCUAGAGUGCGGAAGGGGCAAUCGGAAUUCUCGGUGUAGCGGUGAAAUGCGUAGAUAUCGAGAGGAACACCAAUGGCGAAGGCAGCUCGCUGGAACGGAACUGACGCUGAGGCGCGAAAGCGUGGGGAGCGAACAGG
Molecule: ribosomal RNA, 253 nt
Filed under: uncultured bacterium
Lineage: Bacteria
Description: partial 16S ribosomal RNA
Rfam family: Bacterial small subunit ribosomal RNA
Source: RNAcentral